GGGCGGGCAAGAAAAGUGGAAGCCUGAUUCUCAACUUUCCAAAUACUCCAGCAAUGAGAUGCCUUUGAGCUAGAAGAUCUCGAAAUGGGCAUCUCAACUAUUAACAAGAUCCAUCCUUGGGCAGCACAAUGAAGAUACUCUAGGUGCUUCAUCCGUUCUGGUGACAACACAUCCUAGAGAAGCAUAUCCAGGAGGAGCAAUUGGAUACCAGAAAAAGACUUCAU
RNAcentral lists this unclassified non-coding RNA (224 nucleotides) under Hevea brasiliensis (rubber tree). The record is from RNAcentral. Lineage: Eukaryota; Viridiplantae; Streptophyta; Magnoliopsida; Malpighiales; Euphorbiaceae.